Long non-coding RNA from Tupaia belangeri chinensis (Chinese tree shrew), 742 nucleotides. RefSeq lists it as uncharacterized. The record is from RefSeq and is a predicted model, not a curated record. The transcript has 4 exons. NCBI's taxonomy places the organism in Eukaryota, Metazoa, Chordata, Mammalia, Scandentia, Tupaiidae.
CUCCAGACAGAUGCCUGAAGCCUAACAACAGCUGAGCAACAUGGAACCAGCAAUGUGGAACAGACUGCUAUGAAAAGAGGGAAGCGAAGACUGCUUUAUAAGGUGUCAACACGGCCCUUCUGCCACUUCCCUGCCCCUCUGCUGCAGUCCUGGCCCAAGGAUGGACAGAAUCUAUUCAGCCCAGGCCUGGGGCAUGGCUCUGAAAGGUAGAGCCUGCAAAUCUGCUGAAUAAACAAACUAAUAGGAGAUUUCAUGGUUUCCCAGCCCCCUACCCAGAGCUCCAGAGCUGUUGUAUCACCUGAAACAGGAAGCAGCGGAGAACAGAGGAUAGAAGCACAACACCUGACUCCUGCUCCUCCAGCAAACGAGCCUCCCAGGCCCUUGCAUUUGCUCUUCUCCCUCCUGGAAUGCCCUGUCCCCAGCUUUUCAGAAGACAAGCUCAUCUCACCCUGCAUUUCUGCUGUAACAUCCUCUUGAGAGAAGCCUUCGGUGACCUCCCAAUGCAGUGGCUCCCACAGUGACCUCUACAUCAUCACCCUCACUCCUAUGCAGCAGUCUCGUCUGUUACCUAUUCACCUGUUAGUUGUCUGUUACCUGUUCACCUGUUAGUUGUCUGUUUCCUUCACUAGGAUGGAAGCUCCCUGAGACCAGGGCCAAGUCUAUCUUAUUCACCGUGGCAUCUGCAGCAACCAGCCCAGGGCCAGACCCUUGAUCAUGGAAGAACUUCCACAUCUCCUGGAAC